UUUAAAGUCUGACCUGCCCAAUGAUGAGUUUAAUGGCCGCAGUAUUUUGACUGUGCAAAGGUAGCAUAAUCAUUAGUUUUUUAAUUGAAAGCUAGAAUGAAUGGUUUGAUGAAAAAAUUACUUUCUAUUUUUUAUUAAAAUAAAAUUUUAUUUUUAAGUAAAAAAGCUUAAAUUUUUUUAUAAGACGAGAAGACCCUAUAGAGUUUAAUUUUAAAAAAUAUAAAUAUUAAAUGAAUUAAUAUAAUUUUUAUAUUUAUAAAAUUUUAUUGGGGUGAUAAAAAAAUUUAAUAAACUUUUUUAAAUAAAAACAUUUAUUUAUGAAAAAUUGAUCCUAUUUUAUAGAUUAAAAGAAAAAAUUACCUUAGGGAUAACAGCGUAAUUUUUUUUAGAGUUCUUAUCGAAAAAAAAGAUUGCGACCUCGAUGUUGGAUUAAAAUUUAGUUUUAGUGUAGAAGCUAAAAUAUUAAGUCUGUUCGACUUUUAAAAUUUUACA
RNAcentral lists this ribosomal RNA (492 nucleotides) under Salpingidae sp. UPOL ZL0207. Its description in RNAcentral is "partial 16S ribosomal RNA". The stretch from base 367 to 492 matches the Rfam family "Archaeal large subunit ribosomal RNA", at positions 2542 to 2669 of the family's 2987-position model. The record is from RNAcentral. Lineage: Eukaryota; Metazoa; Arthropoda; Insecta; Coleoptera; Salpingidae.